UACGUAGGGACCAAGCGUUGUCCGGAAUCAUUGGGCGUAAAGCGCGCGUAGGUGGCUUCGUAAGUCCGUUGUGAAAGUCAAAGGCUCAACCUUUGAAAGCCGAUGGAUACUGCGGAGCUAGAGUACGGAAGAGGCGAGUGGAAUUCCUGGUGUAGCGGUGGAAUGCGCAGAUAUCAGGAGGAACACCAAUAGCGAAGGCAGCUCGCUGGGACGGUACUGACGCUGAGACGCGAAAGCGUGGGGAGCGAACAGG
Molecule: ribosomal RNA, 253 nt
Filed under: uncultured bacterium
Lineage: Bacteria
Description: partial 16S ribosomal RNA
Rfam family: Bacterial small subunit ribosomal RNA
Source: RNAcentral